AACGUAGGAGACGAGCGUUAUCCGGAUUUACUGGGCGUAAAGCGCGUGCAGGCGGUUAGAUAAGUCACUUGUGAAAGCGCCCGGCUCAACUGGGCGAGGCCGUGUGAGACUGUCUAACUUGAGAGAGGUAGAGGCAAACGGAAUUCCGGGUGGAGUGGUGAAAUGCGUAGAGAUCCGGAGGAACACCAGUGGCGAAGGCGGUUUGCUGGGCCUACUCUGACGCUCAGACGCGACAGCAUGGGGAGCGAAC
RNAcentral lists this ribosomal RNA (250 nucleotides) under uncultured bacterium. RNAcentral's name for it is "partial 16S ribosomal RNA". It matches the Rfam family "Bacterial small subunit ribosomal RNA", at positions 524 to 773 of the family's 1533-position model. The record is from RNAcentral.